CCUACGGGGAGCAGCAGUCGAGAAUCAUUCACAAUGGGGGAAACCCUGAUGGUGCGACGCCGCGUGGGGGAAUGAAGGUCUUCGGAUUGUAAACCCCUGUCAUGUGGGAGCAAAUUAAAAAGAUAGUACCACAAGAGGAAGAGACGGCUAACUCUGUGCCAGCAGCCGCGGUAAUACAGAGGUCUCAAGCGUUGUUCGGAAUCACUGGGCGUAAAGCGUGCGUAGGCUGUUUCGUAAGUCGUGUGUGAAAGGCGCGGGCCCAACCCGCGGACGGCACAUGAUACUGCGAGAAUAGAGUAAUGGAGGGGGAACCGGAAUUCUCGGUGUAGCAGUGAAAUGCGUAGAUAUCGAGAGGAACACUCGUGGCGAAGGCGGGUUCCUGGACAUUAACUGACGCUGAGGCACGAAGGCCAGGGGAGCGAAAGGGAUUAGAUACCCGGGUAGUC
This 446-nucleotide ribosomal RNA is filed under the name uncultured bacterium. Its description in RNAcentral is "partial 16S ribosomal RNA". It matches the Rfam family "Bacterial small subunit ribosomal RNA", at positions 338 to 795 of the family's 1533-position model. The record is from RNAcentral.